This 2712-nucleotide ribosomal RNA is filed under the name Klebsiella pneumoniae. RNAcentral's name for it is "bacterial LSU rRNA". It matches the Rfam family "Bacterial large subunit ribosomal RNA". The record is from RNAcentral. Lineage: Bacteria; Pseudomonadati; Pseudomonadota; Gammaproteobacteria; Enterobacterales; Enterobacteriaceae.
CCGGCGAUGUCCGAAUGGGGAAACCCAGUGCAAUUCGUUGCACUAUCGUUAACUGAAUACAUAGGUUAACGAGGCGAACCGGGGGAACUGAAACAUCUAAGUACCCCGAGGAAAAGAAAUCAACCGAGAUUCCCCCAGUAGCGGCGAGCGAACGGGGAGCAGCCCAGAGUCUGAAUCAGCUUGUGUGUUAGUGGAACGGUCUGGAAAGUCCGACGGUACAGGGUGAUAGUCCCGUACACCAAAAUGCACAGGCUGUGAACUCGAAGAGUAGGGCGGGACACGUGGUAUCCUGUCUGAAUAUGGGGGGACCAUCCUCCAAGGCUAAAUACUCCUGACUGACCGAUAGUGAACCAGUACCGUGAGGGAAAGGCGAAAAGAACCCCGGCGAGGGGAGUGAAAAAGAACCUGAAACCGUGUACGUACAAGCAGUGGGAGCACCUUCGGGUGUGACUGCGUACCUUUUGUAUAAUGGGUCAGCGACUUAUAUUCUGUAGCAAGGUUAACCGUAUAGGGGAGCCGCAGGGAAACCGAGUCUUAACUGGGCGUUAAGUUGCAGGGUAUAGACCCGAAACCCGGUGAUCUAGCCAUGGGCAGGUUGAAGGUUGGGUAACACUAACUGGAGGACCGAACCGACUAAUGUUGAAAAAUUAGCGGAUGACUUGUGGCUGGGGGUGAAAGGCCAAUCAAACCGGGAGAUAGCUGGUUCUCCCCGAAAGCUAUUUAGGUAGCGCCUCGUGAAUUCAUCUUCGGGGGUAGAGCACUGUUUCGGCUAGGGGGUCAUCCCGACUUACCAACCCGAUGCAAACUACGAAUACCGAAGAAUGUUAUCACGGGAGACACACGGCGGGUGCUAACGUCCGUCGUGAAGAGGGAAACAACCCAGACCGCCAGCUAAGGUCCCAAAGUCAUGGUUAAGUGGGAAACGAUGUGGGAAGGCACAGACAGCCAGGAUGUUGGCUUAGAAGCAGCCAUCAUUUAAAGAAAGCGUAAUAGCUCACUGGUCGAGUCGGCCUGCGCGGAAGAUGUAACGGGGCUAAACCAUGCACCGAAGCUGCGGCAGCGACACUAUGUGUUGUUGGGUAGGGGAGCGUUCUGUAAGCCUGCGAAGGUGUGCUGUGAGGCAUGCUGGAGGUAUCAGAAGUGCGAAUGCUGACAUAAGUAACGAUAAAGCGGGUGAAAAGCCCGCUCGCCGGAAGACCAAGGGUUCCUGUCCAACGUUAAUCGGGGCAGGGUGAGUCGACCCCUAAGGCGAGGCCGAAAGGCGUAGUCGAUGGGAAACAGGUUAAUAUUCCUGUACUUGGUGUUACUGCGAAGGGGGGACGGAGAAGGCUAUGUUAGCCGGGCGACGGUUGUCCCGGUUUAAGCAUGUAGGCUGGUUAUCCAGGCAAAUCCGGAUAAUCAAGGCUGAGGUGUGAUGACGAGGCACUACGGUGCUGAAGUAACAAAUGCCCUGCUUCCAGGAAAAGCCUCUAAGCAUCAGGUAACAUCAAAUCGUACCCCAAACCGACACAGGUGGUCAGGUAGAGAAUACCAAGGCGCUUGAGAGAACUCGGGUGAAGGAACUAGGCAAAAUGGUGCCGUAACUUCGGGAGAAGGCACGCUGGUGUGUAGGUGAAGUCCCUGCGGAUGGAGCUGAGACCAGUCGAAGAUACCAGCUGGCUGCAACUGUUUAUUAAAAACACAGCACUGUGCAAACACGAAAGUGGACGUAUACGGUGUGACGCCUGCCCGGUGCCGGAAGGUUAAUUGAUGGGGUUAUCCGUAAGGAGAAGCUCUUGAUCGAAGCCCCGGUAAACGGCGGCCGUAACUAUAACGGUCCUAAGGUAGCGAAAUUCCUUGUCGGGUAAGUUCCGACCUGCACGAAUGGCGUAAUGAUGGCCAGGCUGUCUCCACCCGAGACUCAGUGAAAUUGAACUCGCUGUGAAGAUGCAGUGUACCCGCGGCAAGACGGAAAGACCCCGUGAACCUUUACUAUAGCUUGACACUGAACAUUGAGCCUUGAUGUGUAGGAUAGGUGGGAGGCUUUGAAGCGUGGACGCCAGUCUGCGUGGAGCCAACCUUGAAAUACCACCCUUUAAUGUUUGAUGUUCUAACGUUGGCCCCUGACCGGGGUUGCGGACAGUGUCUGGUGGGUAGUUUGACUGGGGCGGUCUCCUCCCAAAGCGUAACGGAGGAGCACGAAGGUUAGCUAAUCCUGGUCGGACAUCAGGAGGUUAGUGCAAUGGCAUAAGCUAGCUUGACUGCGAGCGUGACGGCGCGAGCAGGUGCGAAAGCAGGUCAUAGUGAUCCGGUGGUUCUGAAUGGAAGGGCCAUCGCUCAACGGAUAAAAGGUACUCCGGGGAUAACAGGCUGAUACCGCCCAAGAGUUCAUAUCGACGGCGGUGUUUGGCACCUCGAUGUCGGCUCAUCACAUCCUGGGGCUGAAGUAGGUCCCAAGGGUAUGGCUGUUCGCCAUUUAAAGUGGUACGCGAGCUGGGUUUAGAACGUCGUGAGACAGUUCGGUCCCUAUCUGCCGUGGGCGCUGGAGAAUUGAGGGGGGCUGCUCCUAGUACGAGAGGACCGGAGUGGACGCAUCACUGGUGUUCGGGUUGUCAUGCCAAUGGCACUGCCCGGUAGCUAAAUGCGGAAGAGAUAAGUGCUGAAAGCAUCUAAGCACGAAACUUGCCCCGAGAUGAGUUCUCCCUGAGACUUUAAGUCUCCUGAAGGAACGUU